CUAUUUGAGAGUUUGAUCCUGGCUCAGGAUGAACGCUGGCGGCGUGGAUAAGGCAUGCAAGUCGAACGGCCUUGUGCGUAGCACAAGUCGCGGAAAUUCGCAGAUACCAUUGCAGAACACCGCAGAAAUUUUCUGCGUGCACCUGCUUGCUAUCUGCGUUAUUCUGCGUCUCGCGCUAUGCGCGAGGCAGUGGCGAACGAGUCAGUAAUACCUUGGUACGUACCCUAGAGUUUGGCAUAGCCCAUCGAAAGGUGGGGUAAUUCCAAAUUGUCUGAUAGCCGAAUUUUGUAUGAAAGUCAGAAAAUUUCUAAUAUCUAAUUUCUAAUUCCUAAACAAGUACUAAUUUUUAGUGUCUAAAAAUGUUUUUUUAGUCAUUGGGUUUUGUUUAGAAAUUAGGAUUUAGAAAUUGGGAAUUUAGCGAUUUGCAUACAGAAUUCGGUUAUCAGUAAAGAUGCAAAUCGCUCUAGGAGCGGCCUAGGCCCGAUCAGCUAGUUGGUGAGGUAACGGCUCACCAAGGCUAUGACCGGUAGGGGGGGUGAGAGCCUGUUCCCCGACGACGAGACUGAGACACGGCUCGUACACCUACGGGUGGCAGCAGUCGAGAAUAUUCGACAAUGGGCGAAAGCCUGAUCGAGCGACGCCGCGUGCAGGAAGAAACCCUUCGGGGCGUAAACUGCUUUUCUUUGGGAUGAAGUCCAGUCCUUUUGGAGUAUGACAAAAGCCGCUUUAUGCGCGGCUUCCAAACCUAGAUUAAAGAACUAGUUAUUAGGAAUCAGGUCGAAGACGAGGACAGCCGGUGCUACCAAUUGUCCGACAAACGAUGAGUUGAUCCUUAUCGGGUCGGUCAGUUGGAUAAUUUUCGCUGAGCCCUUGAGCCUUUCUUAAGGCCAGUCCGUCAGCUAAUUUUUCGUCGUAGUUAUUUUGACCCGUAUCGAUUUCGAAUGAUUCAAUGUGCUGUUCUUGGUAUUUAGUUCUAGUUGCUACAAGUAAAAGGUGAUAAUGGUAGAUCAUUAGCUUGUCUCCAUGGGUUCAGAAAAAUACUAAAACUAAUUUUAACACGAAGUUCUACUUUGUCAAGUCGUAAUUCAAGAGGACUGGAUUGACAGUACCAGAGGAAUAAGGGGCUGCUAACUUCGUGCCAGCCCCGUUCACACAACUUUGUGUGGCGAGGGCUGAAUCUGGCGCGACCUUCAUGAGCAAUCAUGAUUGAAUAACUUUGCUUAUAUGCUGGAACCUGAUAUGUGCGGCGGUCAGCCCCUUGCAGGGCUUGACUUACAUAUUGGCAAUCAGCAGGGAAGUCAUCUCGCUUAGCGGGAUUGACCCCUCAGAGACUUGACCUGAAAGAUGGUUGGAGUCAUCACAAAAUGAUGGCUAACACGCAGAGCCCCCGAUUUAUUUCGGGGUGGUGAUAUAGUCCAUGUCCUAUCAAACAACAUAAAGUUGUGUGACGGGGCCAGCAGCCGCGGUAAUACGAAGGCCCCAAGCGUUAUCCGGAAUUAUUGGGCGUAAAGGGUGCGUAGGAGGUUUUGUAAGUCUUGUGUUAAAUCUCCCUGCUCAACGGGGGGGCCGCAUGAGAUACUGCAAAACUUUAGAGGGCGCGAGAGGCUUGCGGAACGCACGGUGUAGGGGUGAAAUCCGUUGAUAUCGUGCGGAACACCAAAGGCGAAGGCAGCAAGCUGGCGCGUUCCUGACUCUGAUGCACGAAAGCGUGGGGAGCAAAAAGGAUUGACGCUCAUAAUUGUAUUUUCUCGCAACUAUACUUUGGAAUUGGAAACGCAAACUCGGAAUAUUUUUUGCUCACUAGACGCUGCGCGAUAGACAAACUUGGAAAUUUUUCUUA
Parcubacteria group bacterium is the source of this 1840-nucleotide non-coding RNA. The record is from Rfam.